UUACGGGGAAGUCCCCCCUUUACA
This 24-nucleotide transfer RNA is filed under the name Tympanocryptis cf. lineata LPS-2008. RNAcentral describes it as "partial tRNA-Tyr". Lineage: Eukaryota; Metazoa; Chordata; Lepidosauria; Squamata; Agamidae. The record is from RNAcentral.